CCUACGGGCGGCUGCAGUGAGGAAUAUUGGUCAAUGGACGAGAGUCUGAACCAGCCAAGUAGCGUGAAGGAUGACUGCCCUAUGGGUUGUAAACUUCUUUUAUAUGGGAAUAAAACGUUCCACGUGUGGGAUUUUGUAUGUACCAUAUGAAUAAGGAUCGGCUAACUCCGUGCCAGCAGCCGCGGUAAUACGGAGGAUCCGAGCGUUAUCCGGAUUUAUUGGGUUUAAAGGGAGCGUAGGUGGAUUGUUAAGUCAGUUGUGAAAGUUUGCGGCUCAACCGUAAAAUUGCAGUUGAAACUGGCAGUCUUGAGUACAGUAGAGGUGGGCGGAAUUCGUGGUGUAGCGGUGAAAUGCUUAGAUAUCACGAAGAACUCCGAUUGCGAAGGCAGUUCACUAGACUGCAACUGACACUGAGGCUCGAAAGUGUGGGUAUCAAACAGGAUUAGAUACCCUAGUAGUC
This 460-nucleotide ribosomal RNA is filed under the name uncultured bacterium. RNAcentral describes it as "partial 16S ribosomal RNA". It matches the Rfam family "Bacterial small subunit ribosomal RNA", at positions 338 to 795 of the family's 1533-position model. The record is from RNAcentral.